RNAcentral lists this ribosomal RNA (622 nucleotides) under uncultured bacterium. RNAcentral's name for it is "bacterial SSU rRNA". It matches the Rfam family "Bacterial small subunit ribosomal RNA", at positions 61 to 672 of the family's 1533-position model. The record is from RNAcentral.
GUCGAGCGGUAACAUUUCAAAGCUUGCUUUGAAGAUGACGAGCGGCGGACGGGUGAGUAAUGCUUGGGAAUAUGCCUUAUGGUGGGGGACAACAGUUGGAAACGACUGCUAAUACCGCAUAAUGUCUACGGACCAAAGGGGGGGAUCUUCGGACCUCUCGCCAUUUGAUUAGCCCAAGUGAGAUUAGCUAGUUGGUGAGGUAAUGGCUCACCAAGGCGACGAUCUCUAGCUGGUUUGAGAGGAUGAUCAGCCACACUGGGACUGAGACACGGCCCAGACUCCUACGGGAGGCAGCAGUGGGGAAUAUUGCACAAUGGGCGCAAGCCUGAUGCAGCCAUGCCGCGUGUGUGAAGAAGGCCUUCGGGUUGUAAAGCACUUUCAGUAAGGAGGAAAGGGAUGUAGUUAAUAGCUGCAUUCUGUGACGUUACUUACAGAAGAAGCACCGGCUAACUUCGUGCCAGCAGCCGCGGUAAUACGAGGGGUGCAAGCGUUAAUCGGAAUUACUGGGCGUAAAGCGUUCGUAGGCGGUUGAUUAAGCAAGAUGUGAAAGCCCAGGGCUCAACCUUGGAACUGCAUUUUGAACUGGUCAACUAGAGUACUGUAGAGGGUGGUGGAAUUUCCA